CGACCCUUGACCCCCACUUCCAGUGUGGAGGCCAUCUCGGAUUGACCCUGAAGUGCCCCCAAUGAACCCAGAAUGAACCGGAAGUGCCCCAAAUCAAACCGGAAUGACCCCAAAUAAACCGGAAGUGACCUCAGCUAAACCGGAAGUGCCCUAAAUAAACCGUAAGUGACCUUAUUUCAAAGAGAAGUGCCCUAAAUGAAACCAGAAGUGACCUAAAUUUAACAUUUGCUCUAACUUUUGCAAUUUUUGUCCGAUUCAACCCGUUUCAACUUUUGAACUCCAAAGUGAACCUCUUGAAC
Syngnathus acus (greater pipefish) is the source of this 299-nucleotide long non-coding RNA. RefSeq lists it as uncharacterized. The transcript has 2 exons. The record is from RefSeq and is a predicted model, not a curated record. NCBI's taxonomy places the organism in Eukaryota, Metazoa, Chordata, Actinopteri, Syngnathiformes, Syngnathidae.